Apus apus (common swift) is the source of this 1905-nucleotide long non-coding RNA. RefSeq lists it as uncharacterized. The transcript has 3 exons. The record is from RefSeq and is a predicted model, not a curated record. Lineage: Eukaryota; Metazoa; Chordata; Aves; Apodiformes; Apodidae.
CAGGGGCUUCCUAUGAAGUCUCCACACAUUUAAAGACAGUCCUCGGGUUUGAAGAGAAGAGCUUAUUUAUCCAUGGCUGUUUGGUAUUAGAUGGCAAGUCUCCAAAUAUUCCUUUUUCAGGAAAAGUCUUUUAGCCUUUUAAUAACAUCUCAUAGCUGAUGAAAGCCCACGAUUUUCACCAUGGGAUAGUACGCAGAUGUUACACUACAGGAUAUAUUUAUCAGAAAACACCAAAACACAUGAACCUGAGUAAUAAUUUGUCUUCCGUACCUUUAAUUCUGAUGUACAUGCUUCUCUUUCUUUUUGCAAGUUUUCAUAGAUUUUUCAAGCCAAAGAACUGAGUUACAAAUAUGAAUGGACUCUGGAAGUGAACAUGGUCUGCUGCAUGCUGAUACCCAAAUUUUCAGAAAUGGCCUGGGAUUCAAAGUACCUCAGUACUGAGCAACACAAUUUUAGGGUGCACACAUUUGAAGAAAUGAAGAAGCCAUUGUUUCAUUUGCAUUAAUGUUGAAGAGCAGUAAUUUUUUAAAAGAACUGUUUUUAACACUGUUAUCUUUUAGUAAUAAAUAGUUCUUAACCAUAAAAUUAACAAGAGAACAGCUACAAAUAUGAACAGGCAGUGAUACUGGCUAUAAUUUAAAGACCAUCUAAAAUUACCGAUGUUAUCUUGAAAGUAGUUUCAAAGUCAGCUUGCCCUGUUCUCCUCCCCUCUCUCCUCUUGAGAUUUUUGUUUAUUGGGUUGUUUUUAAGUGAAGGUCCCAGUUUCUCAGCAAAACCUUGGAAUGUGUAUAUAUAACAUAAUUAGUAAAUACAGUGUGAGGUGUUCAAAUUGGAAUGAAAAAUUCCCCACCAGAUUUUAUAACAGCUGCUGUAAGUCAUGUGGAUAAGCCUGCUCUGAGUCUGAACAUCAUGGGAGAGGAAGUUCAAAGGAUUGUUCAGAGCUAACCAUGCCUACAGUAGGGUAAAAGAAACAAGGGCAAAUUUAUGCGGGUUAUUUUUUAGGCUUUUAAAAAUUAGUUUUGUCCUUAAUUAUUUUAUAGACAACAGAAACAUUGUUUUAAAAAUUUCAGGCUCAGUUUGAAAUUAUUCAUCCAGAUUCUCCGUAGGAACAAACGUGUUGCUAUGGAGAUGGACCAGAGCAAAGGCAAAAUAUAGAUGCAGAUAGAUUCCCCAGAGGAAUGUAAUUUGAGGCCUAAGUACCCUGCUUAAACAGUAUAAACACUGUCCUGGUAUGCCUUGUUUUCUCCAUCAACAGUACAAUAAAAUAUCCCUAAUCCUAAAUGAUUUGUUGUUGUUUUAGGAAUAGCUUUUAAAAGAUUAGCCAUUCUACUGAGAGUUCUUUUUUUUGAGAAACUUUUUUGUUCUUGCUUAAGGGCUAUUAAAAGGGGAAAUCAGCAAAAAAAUGGAUAAAACUUUGCAGAAAAAGCAGUGGUGAGAACUUUGCUGAUGUAGAGAUCUUGCUUGCUGUGAGUUCAAUAUUCAUAGCAAACAUGUAAAAAUAUAUUCCUUUUUCUUUGUUGCUGUAAAAUAUGCUGAGCCCAUGUGGAGCUUCUGAGAGAGAAAAGACAAGUACUUCUGCUCUGAAACUCAACCAUCUGCCACUUGGAAUACACAAAACAUCUUCAUUAAGCUUUUGGAUAAGAGUUGUGGAGUUGCAAUUCUGUCCCUGAGAAGCCAGCACAGUACUCCUGAGCUACCUACCUGGACCAUUGCACUCAAAAGUAACGUUCAUGAAAGAGACACGGCCUCAAAUAAUCAGGGAGAAAAUAUUAUAAUGAUGUUUCUCUCUUGUAACCAGUAAUUCAGCAAAGGGAAAACUCCUGCAAAGGUCAGGGCUACAUUUAGUGAAGUACCCUGGUUUACCUGCAUAUGCUGUCUAAAAUAAAAGGUUCAUUUCAGAUUAAA